GUCGACGAGCCCUUCGGGGUUAGUGGCGCACGGGUGCGUAACGCGUGGGAAUCUGCCCUUUGCUUCGGAAUAACUUCGGGAAACUGAAGCUAAUACCGGAUGAUGUCCUCAUUAGAGAUAUUGGGGACCAAAGAUUUAUCGGCAAAGGAUGAGCCCGCGUAGGAUUAGGUAGUUGGUGGGGUAAAGGCCUACCAAGCCGACGAUCCUUAGCUGGUCUGAGAGGAUGAUCAGCCACACUGGGACUGAGACACGGCCCAGACUCCUACGGGAGGCAGCAGUGGGGAAUAUUGGACAAUGGGCGCAAGCCUGAUCCAGCAAUGCCGCGUGAGUGAUGAAGGCCUUCGGGUCGUAAAGCUCUUUUACCAGGGAUGAUAAUGACAGUACCUGGAGAAUAAGCUCCGGCUAACUCCGUGCCAGCAGCCGCGGUAAUACGGAGGGAGCUAGCGUUGUUCGGAAUUACUGGGCGUAAAGCGCGCGUAGGCGGCUACUCAAGUCAGAGGUGAAAGCCCGGGGCUCAACCCCGGAACUGCCUUUGAAACUAGGUGGCUAGAAUCUUGGAGAGGUCAGUGGAAUUCC
RNAcentral lists this ribosomal RNA (576 nucleotides) under uncultured bacterium. RNAcentral's name for it is "bacterial SSU rRNA". It matches the Rfam family "Bacterial small subunit ribosomal RNA", at positions 61 to 670 of the family's 1533-position model. The record is from RNAcentral.